Molecule: unclassified non-coding RNA, 2389 nt
Filed under: Hevea brasiliensis (rubber tree)
Lineage: Eukaryota; Viridiplantae; Streptophyta; Magnoliopsida; Malpighiales; Euphorbiaceae
Source: RNAcentral
CUGUAUAAACCUUGCAACUGAAAAUGCUAAAUCUUCUGCAGGUCUAUAAGGAACUGCACCACCAAAUUCUGUGUACCUGUGGGGAAGAUAAAGCAAUGAACAAAUAAAAAGAUAAUUGGUCUUAGAAAAGAUCCCAAACUCCAAGAAAUAAAAGAAAACUAUGAAUUUUAGAUAAAAUCAAAUAAAAGAAUUAUGAGGACCAAUUUUACAACAAAUAAAGGCAAGUUUUAGCAUGUACUGUCAUCAGUUGUGCGACUUACCAGCCAGUCCAGUUUUCUGUCCACACUUUGGGUUUGUAAUCCUUGUUUGGUUUGAAAUUCUCACAGUAGAAUCCAUUACAGGUGUUGAUCUGAACGCCAUCAAAUAGACUUAGGUUUCAAUAAAUACAAAAGCCCCACUUCAACCCAUAUGAAUUAAAUCCUGACCCAUUUAAUCUUUUACCAGAAAAUCAAGCAAAUAUUUGAAGAAAUAUCUUCACUAUCAAGCUUAAAAACCUUACUAUCAAUCAACAAGGAGACAUACUCAUCAUUUCCAUUAUGAAAAAUCCAAAAACCCCAGAUUAUAUCAAACAAAAGACACAUAAGAGAUUGAUAGGACCCAUAAGGUUAAACUGCAAAAGGAAAGCAAUGCCAAAAGUGCGAGAAAAUAAAGCUCUAUGAUUCUUUAUUUAAGGGCCACCUAAAUAGACGGCAAAUUUAUUAUUAACCCCACCAUGAAAGGAGGGUCAUACUGAAUGUGAAACAUACCAAGAAUGCCUGUACGAAUAUGGCAUCAUCAAAGUGAAAGGAAAACGCUGAAAAUUUGACAAAGUCACUUACAACAGGAUCAGGGGCAUCGUCUUGCUUGCACAUAACCCAUGGGACCCCUGUACCAAGACCCACUGCCAUCUCAGCUGCCCAUUUAGUAUAAGCUUUACCAGGAGCACCAAUCUCCCACUCCACUGGUCCAAAUUCAUUUUCUAUCUGUUUACAAGCAAACGACAAGAAGAAAAUAAAAUACUCGAGCUAUUUUCAAUAAGUGAUUGGCCAAUUAAUCAAAAAUUAUGGAACCAAAAUAAACAUAUGAUUACAAGUUUAAAACCCAUUUCUAGAAUGAUGAUAACGACUGGCAUAGGCUAAUAUUUUCUAUUCAUUUCAGAAAAGGGUUUUUUUUUACUAUGUAAAAACCAAUUGAAUAGAAAAUGGAAUCAAAAUAAUAAAAAGCAAUCAAGAAAAAAAUAAUAAAAAAAAACUACGACCCAAUUCUAGAAACACAGUAAAUAAUGGAAUGGAGUAAUUUUUCCUGCCUGAGAAAGAAUUAUUGGACCUCCCUGAGUUUCAAACAACUUCUCUGACUUCAUCAUGCUGACAAUCUUCUCUGUGAACUUUUGCAUUGCCGCCUUCAUUGUAAGUAUCAAAAAUCAACGUUUAGCUAAAAUCGACAAAUUUCAUUAGUGAAAACGAAAAGUUCAGAGAAAAGGGUAAUCAAAAUAGCAAUGAAAAAUCCCAAGCACCAACCUUGAAAGGGCCGUUGUCAGUUCUAAAUUCAAUACCAGGAACAUAUUUUAGCCAAACAGGAAAUCCCCCAAAGUUCCACUCAGCGCAAACAUAGGGUCCUAUUCGAAGAUGAGCAUAAAGUCCUGCUUGUUGUAUCAGCUUGAUAAACUUGACCAGAUCAUACCUAUCCCCAAAAUAAUAAGUCCCAGGUGAAGGCUCAUGUCCAUUCCAGAAAACGUAUGUUUCUAUGACAUCCAAACCUCCAUCUUUGGCCUUCUGAAUAAGAUCUGGCCACAUCUCAGGAGUACUUCUUGGGUAAUGAAUAGAGCCUGAAAUAAGAAUUCUUCUCUGCCCAUUGAUGGUAAUUGCUUUAUGGUCAUAAGACACAGAAGCAGUAACAGAAGAAACCCAAGAAAAAAAAAACAGUAGCAGAAACAUAAACAAGCCGUCCUUUGACAUAGUCCUCCUCAAAGCAAUGGCCUUUUUUCUUUCUGUAUCUAAGCUGAAUGCUUUGCAUACAGAUGAAUAAAAGAAUAAGAGAGUGAUGGAGAAUUGGGUUUUCUAUACAAAGUUUGUUUUACUGAUUCUUUAAAGAAACAAAAAAGAAAGAAGCAGGCUUGGCAGAGUUUACACUGAAAGUCGGAUAACGUAAUGGAGUUGUGGAGUUAUUAUUUAUGGAUUAGUUAUACGUCCAAGUGCAGGGAGAACUGGGCAACUGCUUUUAUAACAACACUAGAAGAAUGAACAGUUAUGUGGGGUCCAUGUUCUUGGCUUGGUGGGCGGCUCAGCCUCAGUGACACGCAAGGCUACUUGAGGGUGAGGCUCUGGUGAGCUGAUUCCUUAUCAUCUUUCAUCUCUCUGGCUUUUUUGCUUAUUUACUUCAAGCAAAUGCCCACCAAAUAAUUGAAGCCAAG